This 5860-nucleotide long non-coding RNA is filed under the name Capra hircus (goat). RNAcentral's name for it is "lncRNA (ENSCHIG00000004371.1)". The record is from RNAcentral. Lineage: Eukaryota; Metazoa; Chordata; Mammalia; Artiodactyla; Bovidae.
CUCAAUUUUAAAUUUAUUUUUCAUAUAUUCAUUUUUAACAUUAAGGUUAUAUCUGGAUGUUUUGUAAUGGAGCAAAACCUUAUGUAUUUUUCUGUUAGCUACUUUGGGGAGGAUAGAAAAGCCUGCUACUUUAGUACACUUAUCUUUAACCAGCCAUUUUACUAAACAUCAUAAAGAUAAUCAGUUUUUAAUUAUCUUGGGAUUUCUUAAUAGACAAUUACAUCAUCUCCAAAUAAUGCUUUUUGUUUUCUCUUUGUCAGUAAUAAUGUUCCUAUAUCUGUACUAGAAUUGUAUUAACUAAUAUAAUGGUGGAGAGAUCCUUGUUCUGUUUCUGAUUUUGAUGGGAUCCUGCCACUUAGUUUGGUUAUUUGUCCAGUAAUGCUGGUGCUUAUUAAAUUAUAUCAUUCAUGUUUUGGGUGGAUUCUCUAGGCAGCUAUUAAGUUCCUGGGAAUUAGGCCAACCUCUGCCAAUACAGCUAACUCUCUGGGUCUGGUUUCAGCAUCCCCUGCCACUGAGCGAGGAACUUGGUCAGGGCCAAAAAGAAAGCUGUCUUAUGUGGAUUCUGUGAUGACCAUAACCAACUGGGGCUGCUUCUCUCUGGAUAUGGCUAUGAUGGCAGAGUUGAGUAGGCGCAAUGGAGGCCUUAAAACCUGCAAUGCCGAACAUCUUUACUACUUGGUCCUUGAGGAGCUGCUUUGAAGAGAAACUUCAGGAAGACGUUCAUUGUCACAUGAAAAGCCACUUUCAAGGGAUGCUUGCUCAAGGCCAACCAGAACCACAUAAUAAGCAGCAUGUAGGCCCCAACCAGUUCAUUCUGAAGGAGGUCAGCCCUGGGAUUUCUUUGGAGGGAAUGAUGCUGAAGCUGAAACUCCAGUACUUUGACCACCUCAUGCGAAGAGUUGACUCAUUGGAAAAGACUCUGAUGCUGGGAGGGAUUGGAGGCAGGAGGAGAAGGGGACAACAGAGGAUGAGAUGGCUGGAUGGCAUCACUGACUGGAUGGACGUGGAUCUGAGUGAACUCCGGGAGUUGGUGAUGGAUAGGGAGGCCUGGCGUGCUGUGAUUCAUGGGGUCGCAAAGAGUCGGACACGACUGAGCAACUGAACUGAACUAAACUGAGGCCAAUUAGAUUAUUAGCAAUGUUAGACCAUCAGAAAGUAACUUUGGGAACAUACAGUGUAUUUUAUAAGUGUUAUUUGUUGUUGUUGGGGUUUAUUUGUUUUGUUUCCAUUUUUUAACUUUUAUUUUACAUUGGAGUAUAGUUGAUCUACGAUGUUGAGUUAGUUUCAGGUGUACAGCAAAGUGAAUCAGUUGUGUAUGUACAUACAUCGAUUCUUUUUCAAAUUAUUUUCCCGUAUAUAUUACUACAGAAUAUUGAGUAGAGUUCCCUGUGCUGUACAGUAGGUCUUUGUUGAUUAUUUUAUACAUAGCAUUGUGUAUAUGUUAAUCCCAAACUCCUAAUUUAUCACUACCCUCCAUAUUUCCCCUUUGUACCUUUUUCCAUCCCCUCACUGUGUCUGUAUGUGUCCCUAGAUCUGAAAUGGGUCUCUUGUAGACAGCAUUUAUAUGGGUUUUGUUUUGUAUCCAUUCAGCCAGUCUGGGUCUGGGUCUUGUUCCUCUGUUGUGCAGGGCCAUGUUAAGGAGUGUGUCUUCAAGGUGGUUGUGAGCUCAGUAUGAUUGUAGGCAGACUGUCUGCUGAUGGGUGAGGCUGUUCCCACCCUGUUGGUUGCUUGGCCUGAAGCGUCCCAGCACUUGAGCCUGCAGGCUGUUGGGUGGGGCCCGUUCUCAGUGUCAAAAUGGCAACCUCUGGGAGAGCUUAUGCCAGUGAGUUUUCCCUGGGGCCUCUACCACCAGUGUCCUUGCCUCCGCAGUCAGCCACAGCCAACCCACACCUCUCCUGGAGACCUUCCAAGACUCGCAGGUAGUUCUGGCUCAGUCUCCUAUGGAGUCACUGCUUUGACCUGGAUCCUAGUACACAUGAAAACUUGUGCAUGCCCUCCAAGAGUGGAGUCUGUUUCUCCCAGUCCUGCACAGCUCCUGCACUCAAGCCCCGCUGGCUUUCAAAGCUAAGUGCUCUGGCGGCUCCUCCUCCUGAUGCCAGACCCCCAGACUGGGGAGCCUGAUAUGGGGCUCAGAACUCUGACUCCUGUGGGAAAACCUCUGUGAUAUAGUUAUUUUUCCAGUUUAUGGGUUGGUCACCAAGCAGUUAUGAGAUUUGAUUAUAUCUGAAAAGUACCUCUCUUACCAUCUCAUUGUGACUUGUCUCUGGAUGUACAGUAUGAUUUUUGGUAGGUUCCAGUCUUUUUUGUCAGGAGAAGGCAAUGGCAACCCACUCCAGUACUCUUGCCUGGAGAAUCCCACGGACGGAGGAGCCUGGUGGGCUGCAGUCCAUGGGGUAGCUAACAGUCGGACACAACUGAGUGACUUCAUUUUCACUUUCCUGCACUGGAGAAGGAAAUGGCAGCCCACUCCAGUGUUCUUGCCUGGAGAAUCCCAGGGACGGGGGAGCCUGGUGGGCUGCCGUCUCUGGGGUCACACAGAGUCGGACGCGACUGAAGCGACUUGGCAGCAGCCGCAGCAGCAGCAGUCUUUUUUGUCAAUGGCUGUUCAGCAGUUAGUUGUGAUUUUGGUGUUUUCAUGAGAACAGGUAAGCUCAAGUCCUUCUACUCUGCCAUCUUGUCUCCUCCCUCUAUCCAUAAAUGUUCUUUGAAUUGAAUGAUGGAUCUUUCAACAAGAUAGAGAAGACGUUAUUUUACCUACUAACUUGAGUGUAAGUCUUGAGUGUGACCAUGCUAGUCAUUCCUAGUUUCCCUCUCCCUCCCUCCCUCUCUCAGCAUUGACAUCCUGAAGCACUAAGGGAAUGCCUUAUGUUGAUAAUAUGGUAAUAGAGAUUCACAGUGCUUCCAAUGAGAGUAUUUGCUGAUGUGGGCAUUCGGUGUACUCAAUUUUAGUGGGCACAGCAUGCUCAUUCAUUACUCCUGUCUUCAGGAGAGUCUCUAGCCAUUUGACUCACUUGCUGACUCUUGCUCUUUGAGGAAGCAGCCAUAAAGGCAAAGCUCUCAAAGGGGAAAAUCUGUUGGUCUCAUUCCAACCCUUUAGUCAAGACAAGGAAGAUAGGAGAUAACUAUCCUUUUCCAUCCCUCUUGAUUUUGAAUAUACAAGCUAAAGAGCCCAUUAACCCUUAGUUUAAAAAGAAAAACCGGAGUGUCACAAAAGACAGGAAUAAUUCAAAUGCAGUUUAGGCUAAUAAGGGAGCUUUAUCCUUUCACUGUUUUCUGGGAGCUUUUCAAUCAGCUUUGGCAAAGCUUCUGAACAAAGACAGUAAUUACCAAAUAAAAAUUGCCUUCAGUGCAUUGUCUAACUGUGUUCACAGUUUGGCAUGAACGGAUUUAUGAUCCUUUUAUUCCAACAGGAACUACCAGUCCUCCCUUCACUUCAAAUAGCCUAUUCAUCUCAGCAUAAAAACGACUAAAAUACACCCAAAGAAUAUGCUGCAUCUGCACCCAAGAAGCGGACAGCAGGAGUCAGCUUCUACCAACAGUCACCAAUAUACCUGGCUUUGAAAAGCUCCAUCCAAAACACAGACUCUAAAAAGCCCUUAAAUAUUUAUUUUUAAAAGACAGCAAUUAUUUGGUUUCACUUCUAUUUACUACUAUGGAUGUUUUGUUCAAAAGUAAAUUCAUUCUAUUUUGUAUAAAAUCGUCCAAAAUGAAGAUUAUAUUAGGGAAUUUAAGCUUAAUUAAUGACCUGUGACUGCUAAUCAGAUACAUGGAUUAAUGCUUUCUAUUCCUGGGAGUAAGUGACAUAGAUAUAUAUGUAUAUAUCUUAGAGACCACCUAAUUGGUGGCAUCAUCAAGCAAUUUACUUCACUCCUAACACCCAUCUGCUAAGCAUUCUCUUUUGCUACCCUCUAGCUCAUGCUUAAUGUAGAUAUGUAUAUACAUGUAAGCCACAUGUCCAAAUCCUAGAACAACAUUCAUGUAGAAUGGGGUUGCAAAGAGCCAGACUCGACUGAGUAACUGUCACUUUCAGAAAGUCUCUAUAAAAAAUUGAGACCUUUGCACAAAACUUUGUGUUGCAGUAUAAUACAGGUCAUGUUAAUACACUGAUAUGAGUCCCUGGUGGCUCAGGUGGUUAAAAAAAAAAAAUCCACCUGUAAUGCAGGAGACACGGGUUUGAUCCCUGGGUGGAGAAGAUCCCCUGCAGAAGUAAAUGGCAACCCACUCCAGUAUUCUUGCCUGGAGAAUUCCAUGGAAAGAGGAGCCCAGUGGGCUACAAUCCAUGGGGUUGCAGGGUCAGAUACAACUGAGCGACUAGCACUUUCAGUUUCACAAAUAUAAUGGUUAUAAACAUCAGGGAGGAAGAAAUUUUCGACCUUUCUAGUUCUUCCAGCUGACCUAGAAUUAAAUUGACAUGAGGCAGAUAACAGAGAAAAUCAAACAAAAGUUUAAUGACAUGCAAACAUGGGAGAGACCCAGGAAAACUAAGUCACUCACCAAAAUGGCCAAAACCCUCACCUUGAAUACCAUCUUCAGUUGAAGACAAAAGAGAAGGUUGGGGGUAGUCAUUUGGGACUUCAUUAGGGAGGAAGGCAAUUGACAUGGAGAUGGAAAAGCACUCAUUCGGUAAACAAAUAUUUGCUGGGUCCUGCAGAGACAAUGGGAUACUGAGUGGACUCUGGUCUUUUGGCCUGCCCAGUUGUCCCGACUAUACCUCACCUCAUAAUCUUUGAAGAUAUGUCUGGGGACUGCUUUAUUCUGGUCCUUUAUAUAAAUUCUUUAAAUAGCUAAAAGUGUUAGUUGCUGAGUUGUGUCUGACUUUUUGCAACCCCAUGGACUGCAGCAUGCCAGGCUUCUUUGUCCAUGUGAUUCUCCAGGCAACAAUACUGGAGUGGAUUGCCGUUUCCUUCUCCAGGGGAUCUUCCCAACCCAGAAAUUAAACACAGGUCUCCUGCACUUCCCUGGUGGCUCAGACGGUAAAACGUCUGCCUACAAUGUGGAAGACCUGGGUUCAAUCCCUGGGUCGGGAAGAUCCUCUGGAGAAGGAAAUGGCAACCCACUCCAGUACUCUUGCCUGGAAAAUCCCAUGGACAGAGGAGCGUGGUAGGCUGCUACAGUCCAUGGGGCUGCAAAGAGUCGGACACGACUGAACGACUUCACUCACUUCACUCACUCCUGCACUGCAGGCAGAUUCUUUACCAUAUGAGCCAAGGCGGAGAGAGGGGCGAAUAAAAGAAAACUUCCUGAGUUGUCUGUUUCUUAAAAACAAUCAGCUUAAAUUAAUCCUCAUGCCAAAGAGAUGCAUUUUGGAGUAGCAGAUUUUUCUCUCCUGUGCAAGAUUAGUUCCAACCACAACUUUUUCAUUGGUCACUAUCACAUCAUGUCCUCAUGGCAUUGCAAGCUUAGCAGUUGAUCCCUUUGACUUUGGGGUCCUCAAUAUUGCUCCACUGGGUGUAUUCCAACUAUACAUACUGGAUUGUCCCAAAUGUACAUUGGACGUGGUGACUGUUUGUGUAAAAUGGGGGUAUAGCUUUCACAGAGUGGGGGCCUGAAAAGGGCACUCUCCAUAGAGUUGGGAGACUUGUUUCUACGCUUCAGUGUUUUAUUGACUGUAUAUGAUGUUAGGUAUCUCUCUUUACCUCACUAAACUUGAGAUGCUGUUGUUUAAAGAUAAAUGAAGGAGCUGGUCCAGAUCAUUCCCCUUGUCUCAAAGUGUAUUUCAUAGAAAAAUGAUCUGAUGAGAUACAAGAAUGCGUCUGCUUGUCCCUAUGCCCUUCGGGAAGAAUGAAGCCUCUGAGAAUCCUUGCAAUAAGUGAAUCUGUUUAACUUUUUAACUCAGGAUUAUAUAAAUUUAUAAGACUAC